RNAcentral lists this ribosomal RNA (468 nucleotides) under uncultured bacterium. RNAcentral describes it as "partial 16S ribosomal RNA". It matches the Rfam family "Bacterial small subunit ribosomal RNA", at positions 28 to 507 of the family's 1533-position model. The record is from RNAcentral.
GACGAACGCUGGCGGCGUGCUUAACACAUGCAAGUCGAACGGAAAGGCCCUGCUUGUGUGGGGUGCUCGAUUGGCGAACGGGUGAGUAACACGUGAGUAACCUGCCCUUGACUUUGGGAUAACUUCAGGAAACUGGGGCUAAUACCGUAUAGGAUCUCCUGCUGCAUGGUGGGGGUUGGAAAGUUUCGGCGGUUGGGGAUGGACUCGCGGCUUAUCAGCUUGUUGGUGGGGUAGUGGCUUACCAAGGCUUUGACGGGUAGCCGGCCUGAGAGGGUGACCGGGCACCUUGGGCCUGCGAUACGGAGCAGACUCCUACGGGAGGCAGCAGUGGGGAAUAUUGCACAAUGGGACGAAGUCUGAUGAAGAAACGCCGCGUGCGGGAUGACGGCCUUCGGGUUGUAAACCGCUUUCGCCUGUGACGAAGCGUGAGUGACGGUAAUGGGUAAAGAAGCACCAGCUAACUACGUG